UUUUUCAUUAAUCAAGAACGACAGUAGGGGGUGUGAAGACGCCUAGAUACCGUUGUAAUCUCUGGCAUAAACUAUGCUGAGCUAGAGAUAGGGAAAUGCCCCCCGUUGGCUUCUCCUGCACCUCAUGAGAAAAUCAAAAGUCUCUGGGUUCUGGGGGGAGUAAUGGUCGCAAGGCUGAAACUUAAAGGAAUUGACGGAGGGGGACCGCCAGGCGUGGAGCCUGCGGCUUAAUUUGACUCAGCACGGGGAAACUCCGCAGGUCCAGACAUGGGAAGGAUUGACAGAUUGAUAGUUCUUUCUUGAUUCUAUGGGUGGUGGUGCAUGGCCGUUAUUAGUUGGUGGAGUGAUCUGUAUGGUUAAUUUCGAUAACGAACGAGACCUUAGCCUGCUAAAUAGGGUCAGUAACUUUGCGGUUACUGUAUCACUUCUUAGAGGGACUUUGCGUGUCUGACGCAAGGAAGUUUGAGGCAAUAACACGUCUGUGAUGCCGUUAGAUGUUCUGGGCUGCACGCGCGCUACACUGAUGCAUGCAACGAGUUUUUACCUUGGCCGACAGGUCUGGGUAAUCUUUUGAGUGUGCAUUGUGAUGGGGAUAGAUUAUUGCAAUUAUUAAUUUUCAAAGAGGAAUGCCUAGUAGGCGCAAGUCAGCAGCUUGCGCCGAUUAA
RNAcentral lists this ribosomal RNA (665 nucleotides) under Eimeria tenella. RNAcentral describes it as "SSU rRNA". It matches the Rfam family "Eukaryotic small subunit ribosomal RNA", at positions 966 to 1648 of the family's 1831-position model. The record is from RNAcentral. Lineage: Eukaryota; Apicomplexa; Conoidasida; Eucoccidiorida; Eimeriidae.